GCCCCUGACUGCUGCAUCCUGCUGCCUUGGGGAAUAUCAACCACCAAGCAGCAGUGUGCAGUGGUGAGGGUG
Non-coding RNA from Branchiostoma floridae (Florida lancelet), 72 nucleotides. NCBI's taxonomy places the organism in Eukaryota, Metazoa, Chordata, Leptocardii, Amphioxiformes, Branchiostomatidae. The record is from Rfam.